AGAUAGAAGAUACGUAAGAGUCUU
RNAcentral lists this small nuclear RNA (24 nucleotides) under Arabidopsis thaliana (thale cress). Its description in RNAcentral is "snRNA_09545". Lineage: Eukaryota; Viridiplantae; Streptophyta; Magnoliopsida; Brassicales; Brassicaceae. The record is from RNAcentral.